This 470-nucleotide ribosomal RNA is filed under the name uncultured organism. RNAcentral's name for it is "bacterial SSU rRNA". It matches the Rfam family "Bacterial small subunit ribosomal RNA", at positions 28 to 507 of the family's 1533-position model. The record is from RNAcentral.
GAUGAACGCUAGCUACAGGCUUAACACAUGCAAGUCGAACGGAGUAGCAAUACUCAGUGGCAAACGGGUGAGUAACACGUAUCCAACCUAACCUCUACUCGGGUAUAGCCUUUCGAAAGGAAGAGUAAUCCCUGAUGUUAUAUGUGAUUCACAUGCAUUGCAUAUCAAAGAUUUAUCGGUAGAGGGUGGGGAUGCGUUCCAUUAGAUAGUCGGCGGGGUAACGGCCCACCGAGUCGAUGAUGGAUAGGGGUUCUGAGAGGAAGGUCCCCCACAUUGGAACUGCGACACGGUCCAAACUCCUACGGGAGGCAGCAGUGAGGAAUAUUGGUCAAUGGCCGAAAGGCUGAACCAGCCAAGUAGCGUGAAGGAUGACGGCCCUAUGGGUUGUAAACUUCUUUUUUAUGGGAAUAACGGUAUCCACGUGUGGUUGCGUGCAUGUACCAUAAGAAUAAGGAUCGGCUAACUCCGUG